RNAcentral lists this ribosomal RNA (253 nucleotides) under uncultured bacterium. Its description in RNAcentral is "partial 16S ribosomal RNA". It matches the Rfam family "Bacterial small subunit ribosomal RNA", at positions 524 to 776 of the family's 1533-position model. The record is from RNAcentral.
UACAGAGGUCCCAAGCGUUGUUCGGAUUCACUGGGCGUAAAGGGUGCGUAGGUGGCGUGGUAAGUUUGAUGUGAAAGCUCAGGGCUUAACCCUGAAAUGGCAUUGAAUACUACUGUGCUGGAGGUUUGGAGGGGGGACUGGAAUUCUUGGUGUAGCAGUGAAAUGCGUAGAUAUCAAGAGGAACACCAGUGGCGAAGGCGGCGACCUGGACCGACACUGACGCUAAUACACGAAAGCGUGGGGAGCAAACAGG